AAAAGAAACCAACAGGGAUUGCCUCAGUAACGGCGAGUGAAGCGGCAACAGCUCAAAUUUGAAAUCUGGCCCCCCCCCGGGGGGGCCCGAGUUGUACUUUGGAGAGGAUGCUUUGGGCGCGGCGCCUUCCGAGUUCCUUGGAACAGGACGCCAGAGAGGGUGAGAGCCCCGUACGGUUGGACGCCUAGCCCGUGCAAAGCUCCUUCGACGAGUCGAGUAGUUUGGGAAUGCUGCUCAAAAUGGGAGGUAAAUUUCUUCUAAAGCUAAAUACCGGCCAGAGACCGAUAGCGCACAAGUAGAGUGAUCGAAAGAUGAAAAGCACUUUGAAAAGAGGGUUAAACAGCACGUGAAAUUGUUGAAAGGGAAGCGCCUGUGGCCAGACGUGCGCCCCGCGGACCACCCGCCGCCUCGCGCGGCGGGGCACGCCGCGGCGGCGCAGGCCAGCAUCGGCUCUCCCAGGGGGACAAAGGUCGCGGGAACGUAGCUCCUCCGGGAGUGUUAUAGCCCGCGGCGUCAUGCCCUUGGGGGGGCCGAGGA
Molecule: ribosomal RNA, 537 nt
Filed under: Raffaelea santoroi
Lineage: Eukaryota; Fungi; Ascomycota; Sordariomycetes; Ophiostomatales; Ophiostomataceae
Description: partial 28S ribosomal RNA
Rfam family: Eukaryotic large subunit ribosomal RNA
Source: RNAcentral